RNAcentral lists this transfer RNA (77 nucleotides) under Gammaproteobacteria bacterium. RNAcentral's name for it is "tRNA-Ile". It matches the Rfam family "tRNA". Rfam says of the family: Transfer RNA (tRNA) molecules are approximately 80 nucleotides in length. Their secondary structure includes four short double-helical elements and three loops (D, anti-codon, and T loops). Further hydrogen bonds mediate the characteristic L-shaped molecular structure. tRNAs have two regions of fundamental functional importance: the anti-codon, which is responsible for specific mRNA codon recognition, and the 3' end, to which the tRNAs corresponding amino acid is attached (by aminoacyl-tRNA synthetases). tRNAs cope with the degeneracy of the genetic code in two manners: having more than one tRNA (with a specific anti-codon) for a particular amino acid; and 'wobble' base-pairing, i.e. permitting non-standard base-pairing at the 3rd anti-codon position. The record is from RNAcentral. Lineage: Bacteria; Pseudomonadati; Pseudomonadota; Gammaproteobacteria. RNAcentral also lists the same sequence under 1 other name.
GGGCCCAUAGCUCAGUUGGUUAGAGCAUCCGACUCAUAAUCGGCAGGUCCCAGGUUCGAGUCCUGGUGGGCCCACCA